CAAGAAUUCAAAGUUAAAAGUCUAUUGUAGCUCUUGAAAAUAAACUAAAUUAUACAUUAAAAAAAAAUAGAAUUUGAAAGAACAAGAACAACUUUGAUGAUGGAUGGAGGGAGGGUUUUGUUGAAUGCUUGGAUCGAGUUAUAUCAUGUAUGGUCACACAAACCAACCAGUCAGAAAACAUCUGUUUCUUUUUCUAUAUUUGUCUCUCACACUGCGAUUAUGGCUAAAGUAAUCGAUAUAGAUCAAUACUAUAAGAACAGCAUCUGUUAUGUGUAUUUUAAAUAAAGCCCGUAUGGUUUUCAAGGAUUACACUCGUUUCAUGGAAAAUGAAGGUGAAAUUACGUUCUAACGAAUUUAGAUGUAAGGGAGA
Molecule: long non-coding RNA, 370 nt
Organism: Centruroides sculpturatus (bark scorpion)
Lineage: Eukaryota; Metazoa; Arthropoda; Arachnida; Scorpiones; Buthidae
Exons: 4
Source: RefSeq, a predicted model, not a curated record